GACAGAGGUGCCGAGCGUUAGGCGGAAUCACUGGGCUUAAAGCGUGUGUAGGCGGAUCUGUAAGUACCUUGUGAAAUCCCACGGCUCAACCGUGGAACUGCUUGGUAUACUGCGGGUCUUGAGCCACCUAGGGGCAAGUGGAACAAACGGUGGAGCGGUGAAAUGCGUAGAUAUCGUUUGGAACGCCAAUGGUGAAAACAACGUGCUGGGGGUGUGCUGACGCUGAGACACGAAAGCCAGGGGAGCAAGCGGG
This 253-nucleotide ribosomal RNA is filed under the name uncultured bacterium. Its description in RNAcentral is "partial 16S ribosomal RNA". It matches the Rfam family "Bacterial small subunit ribosomal RNA", at positions 524 to 776 of the family's 1533-position model. The record is from RNAcentral.